This 255-nucleotide ribosomal RNA is filed under the name Staphylococcus aureus. RNAcentral describes it as "partial 23S ribosomal RNA". It matches the Rfam family "Bacterial large subunit ribosomal RNA", at positions 153 to 401 of the family's 2925-position model. Lineage: Bacteria; Bacillati; Bacillota; Bacilli; Caryophanales; Staphylococcaceae. The record is from RNAcentral.
GAUAUGUGAAUACAUAGCAUAUCAGAAGGCACACCCGGAGAACUGAAACAUCUUAGUACCCGGAGGAAGAGAAAGAAAAUUCGAUUCCCUUAGUAGCGGCGAGCGAAACGGGAAGAGCCCAAACCAACAAGCUUGCUUGUUGGGGUUGUAGGACACUCUGUACGGAGUUACAAAGGACGACAUUAGACGAAUCAUCUGGAAAGAUGAAUCAAAGAAGGUAAUAAUCCUGUAGUCGAAAAUGUUGUCUCUCUUGAG